CAGGAAUAGCUUGCUAUUUGCUGACGAGUGGCGGACGGGUGAGUAAUGCUUGGGAACUUGCCUUUGGGAGGGGGAUAACAGUUGGAAACGACUGCUAAUACCGCAUAACGUCUACGGACCAAAGGGGGCUUAGGCUCCUACCUGAAGAGAGGCCCAAGUGAGAUUAGCUAGUUGGUGGGGUAAAGGCUCACCAAGGCGACGAUCUCUAGCUGUUCUGAGAGGAAGAUCAGCCACACUGGGACUGAGACACGGCCCAGACUCCUACGGGAGGCAGCAGUGGGGAAUAUUGCACAAUGGGGGAAACCCUGAUGCAGCCAUGCCGCGUGUGUGAAGAAGGCCUUCGGGUUGUAAAGCACUUUCAGUUGUGAGGAAAGGUUGGUAGUUAAUACCUGCCAGCUGUGACGUUAACAACAGAAGAAGCACCGGCUAACUCCGUGCCAGCAGCCGCGGUAAUACGGAGGGUGCGAGCGUUAAUCGGAAUUACUGGGCGUAAAGCGGACGCAGGCGGUUUGUUAAGCUAGAUGUGAAAGCCCCGGGCUCAACCUGGGAUGGUCAUUUAGAACUGGCAGACUAGAGUCUUGGAGAGGGGAGUGGAAUUCCAGGUGUAGCGGUGAAAUGCGUAGAUAUCUGGAGGAACAUCAGUGGCGAAGGCGACUCCCUGGCCAAAGACUGACGCUCAUGUCCGAAAGUGUGGGUAGCGAACAGGAUUAGAUACCCUGGUAGUCCACACCGUAAACGCUGUCUACUAGCUGUGUGUGAAUUUAAUUCGUGCGUAGCGAA
Molecule: ribosomal RNA, 780 nt
Filed under: Alteromonadales bacterium GUDS1326
Lineage: Bacteria; Pseudomonadati; Pseudomonadota; Gammaproteobacteria; Alteromonadales
Description: bacterial SSU rRNA
Rfam family: Bacterial small subunit ribosomal RNA
Source: RNAcentral